UUGACCUCAAAUCAGGUAGGACUACCCGCUGAACUUAAGCAUAUCAAUAAGCGGAGGAAAAGAAACUAACAAGGAUUCCCCUAGUAACUGCGAGUGAAGCGGGAAAAGCUCAAAUUUAAAAUCUGGUAGUCUUCGGCUGCCCGAGUUGUAAUCUAGAGAAGCAUUAUCUGCGCUGGACCGUGUACAAGUGUCCUGGAAUGGACCAUCAUAGAGGGUGAGAAUCCCGUCUUUGACACGGACUCCCAGGGCUUUGUGAUGUGCUCUCAAAGAGUCGAGUUGUUUGGGAAUGCAGCUCUAAAUGGGUGGUAAAUUCCAUCUAAAGCUAAAUAUUGGCGAGAGACCGAUAGCGAACAAGUACCGUGAGGGAAAGAUGAAAAGAACUUUGGAAAGAGAGUUAAACAGUACGUGAAAUUGCUGAAAGGGAAACGCUUGAAGUCAGUCGCGUUGGCUGGGGAUCAACCUUGCUUUUUUGCUUGGCUUACUUCCCAGUUGACGGGUCAGCAUCAGUUUUGACCGGUGGAUAAAGGCUAGGGGAAUGUGGCACCCUCGGGUGUGUUAUAGCCCUUGGUCAUAUGCAUUGGUUGGGACUGAGGAACUCAGCACUUGUGCUUAGGAUGCUGGCAUAAUGGCUUUAAGCGACCCGUCUUGAAACACGGACCAAGGAGUCUAACAUGCCCGCGAGUGUUUGGGUGGUAAACCCGAGCGCGUAAUGA
RNAcentral lists this ribosomal RNA (713 nucleotides) under Termitomyces sp. Group2. RNAcentral's name for it is "eukaryotic LSU rRNA". It matches the Rfam family "Eukaryotic large subunit ribosomal RNA", at positions 1 to 722 of the family's 3401-position model. Lineage: Eukaryota; Fungi; Basidiomycota; Agaricomycetes; Agaricales; Lyophyllaceae. The record is from RNAcentral.